Long non-coding RNA from Lactuca sativa (garden lettuce), 969 nucleotides. RefSeq lists it as uncharacterized. NCBI's taxonomy places the organism in Eukaryota, Viridiplantae, Streptophyta, Magnoliopsida, Asterales, Asteraceae. The record is from RefSeq and is a predicted model, not a curated record.
AUCUCUCACCCAAAGUGGCAGAUGACGAAGACAAGUAGAUACCCACAACCUGAAGCAUGAAGCAGGCGACUUCCUCCGCCAGCUCCGGUACAAAACUGAAAACCCUAAUUUCGAUUUUUCUCAUUGUUAGUAUAUUUAUGACUGUUUCUAUUCUUAAGUUGUUAGAUGUUUUGAUUUAUUGUGUCUUCAUUGAUUUUUUUGGUUCGUCGUAUUCGCACUUCGAAAAUCCCUCCCCUGUUUGCUUUCUUCUCUCGUCAAUGUAUUACAUGGCGAUCUCAUCGAUUUCUACUCACCGAUGCAACAAGACAACAUCCACUCUGGCACAACAAACCCUUUGAACGGCGUAAUUUCAUCAAGUCUAAACCUCCCGCGGUUAAGUGGUUCAAAAUGGUGGCAUUGUCCAAAGAUCUUUGUCAUUUGACAACACUACGUUCUGGGGAGCUUCAAGUUCCAAGGCAUGAUUUGCAUGGUUUCCAUUGCUUAACACUCGAUACCUCAAUACUCUUUAAAAGGUUAUUAUUAUCAGGGUCUUAAAGCGGAUAAUGAAGUUGGUUUGUGGGACUGGAAAUGAUCUUUAGGUUAUUGUUCUUGAACAUUUAUAGGUAAGAAUAAGAUUGAGAAACAGUAAAUAGGAAUGAAAAAUGCAAGAAGACUUUUUUUGAAGUAAUAAAAUUGUUUAGAGUUAAUCUAGGGAUAGCUUAUCCAAUGCCUUAAUGUACCUCUCAAGAGCUAUAGGAACAAGAUCUUCAAGGCACAAUGAGAACUACAUGUAUAUUUAACAAGCUACUGAUUAGGUUUAACGAUAAGAUAAUAGAUAUAAAUAUGUAGUCAUCAUUGAGAUGAAAAAAAAAGAAUUCAAACUAAAGUUCAAAUCAAUACAUACUUAUUAUAAUCUUUUUAUCUCACAAAUAAAAUGUUACCUUUUCACUAGAGACAAUCGUCUUUCAACUGAUGCAACUCUGAAGAGGC